UACUUCUUCAUUCAGUCCAGUACCUAGA
This 28-nucleotide non-coding RNA is filed under the name Rattus norvegicus (Norway rat). The record is from RNAcentral. Lineage: Eukaryota; Metazoa; Chordata; Mammalia; Rodentia; Muridae.